UUGCCCAAAUGUAAGGUGUACAUAGUUAACUGUCAGGUCCAAAUAGUUUUCCCUCUACCAAUAAAGGAAAAACCGAAAAGCCCAGCGAAAACCCUAGUUACCUACUCGAUCCCAAUCUUUCCGGUCUGGCUACAACGGGAAAUUUGUGUUACAGUGUGAACAUCGGCUUCCAAAAUGGCUAACAUUGUCCUCAGAAAUCUGCAUUCUUUAGUACAAAAACGCCUUCUUGCAACAUUACCAACGCCUACAUCUGCAUUAUGUUCAUCUUUUACAGUUGAGUACCUGGUGAAGUCAUGCGGGCUUCCUUUAGAAUCUGCAAUCUCAACCUCCAAGAAGCUUCAGAUUGAUAAGAAGCAAACCCAUCGGAUAGAUUCGAUGCUCAAAUUCUUGAAAUCUAACGGAUUUGAUGAUGCCCAAAUCGCCAAAUUGAUCGCCAAGCGCCCCAAAAUCCUCCAUUACAAGGUACUCAACAAUCUGGAGCCCAAAUUCAACUUUCUCAUUGAAAAUGGCUUUGUGGGUCAGAAUCUGCCAGAGCUCGUUUUAUUGAAUCCAGCCGUUUUGACUCGGAGUUUGGAUUCUCACAUAAAACCAGCAGUUCAAUUUCUCAAGAAAUUGCUUUCAACCAAUGAUGUGUUGGCGGCGGCCAAACGCUCUUCAUGGCUGUUAAACACCGAUAGUGAGGGUACAAUUCAACCCAAUGUGGCCCUUUUGCAGAAUGAAGGUGUUCCCUUUGAUGUUUUAACAAAACUGAUAGUGUUACAGCCAAGGACCGUUAUGCAAAAUGUUGACAGAAUGGCUUAUGCAGUUAGAACAAUAAAAGAUUUGGGCAUUGACCCGACUGAUCCGAUGUUUGUCCAGGCUCUUCGAGUUAUGAUCUCUAUGAAAGAGUCAACAUGGAAAAGGAAAAUUGAAUUUUUUAAGAGUUACGGGUGGUCUGAAGAUGAUAUUCUGUCAGUUUUUAAGCGCCAACCAUUUUGUUUAGCUUGUUCGGAGGAGAAACUUGGGAGAGUCAUGGAUUUCCUUCUGAACACUGUGAAGUUGGAACCGGAGACUAUGAUUGCCAAUCCCAUGCUUCUUAUGCAUGCUUUUGAGAAAACAGUUCUACCAAGGUAUAAUGUUUUCAAGAUUUUGGUUUCUAAGAAGCUGAUUAAUAGGGACAACAAGAGGCUGUCUUGGUUGAUCACACAAGGUGAGAGGAGAUUUUUGGAUAGGUAUGUUCUUAAGUAUUUGAAUGAAGUCCCAGACCUACUGGAGAUAUACCAUAGUUCUAAGGAAGAGACAAUAGAGAUUCCUUAGUACAAUAGUAAGUGGACCUGUGAAAUUUUGUAUUGAAAUAUUGUCUCUUUGCUAUGGAUUUAGAGUUCUUUUUUUAUAUGUAAUCAUUUAGAUUUGUUUGGUUGACUCUCGUUUUCUGAUUCGUAGUUUGUGUUCACAUUAUACAACUUUUUCCCUAAUAUCAGGCAAAUUCCUUGGUGGUAUGAUUAUUUAAGAAAAAAACAAGGGACAUAAAUAAUAAAAAGGCGAAACUCCAUCUUCAUGCACUUAAUUGGUUUAAGAGCAUGUUUUGACUGCGAUUGCUAUUAGCUACCUUCUGUUAGUAUCAUGAAGUCCUUGCUGCAUCUGUUGAGAAGUGAAGGAGACCACUGUUUUAAACAUAAUCAGUUAGUUUUGACUGCCCAUUGUUCUUUUACUAAUAAUUUUAUAUUUCCAAGCGGACAUUUAUAAUUGUAUCUAUAAAGGGAACAAUAUCAAAGAGUCCAUUCCACUAGAAUCAAAGGCAUUAUAUGUUAGUGAUACAUUUUGGCUUUUCUAUCACUUCCAUUUUUGUUUGUCUUGUUCUAAUGUUGCUUUCUUUUUGGCUAGACGUCGGGGCUUCUUUUGAUUCUUGAACGGUUUUUGUUACUGAGAAAUUGAAAUGGAUUCGAAUUCUGAUUUUCCAGUGGAUGAGGUUGCUGCGAUGGAUGUUUUUGGAUUUGAAACAGCAUUUGAAGGAGAAAAUUGUGGUGUUUGUUCUAAUGUUUUUGCAACAAGUUGGGCAGAUGAAAGAGUUCAUUAAGUUAAAAAUAUACCUCAUUUUAAUCUCGCUUGAAGUUCAGUAGGAUAAUUUUUUAGGAUAAUCUUGAUUUUUCUAAUGGGUACAGUCCUUGUACAUAACUUUGGUUUUCUAAUAGUGUUGGUACUUUUAGGAUAAUCUUGAUUCUGUACAGGGUAUUUUUGUGUGUCCUCUGCUAUGAUGGAUUUUUUUCUGGACUGAAAAGGACUUUAUAGCAGCCAGUAAAUGAUGUUGCUGUUUGCUGUAAUGUUUUCAAAAUGAGGACAGUAGAAGAACGACUGCACCUCAUUGAGAAAUGCUUGGGAUCCUUUGGUAAGAAGAUGGUGGGGAUUUACAAUGGAUCACAUAUGUUCAAAGGCUCCAGUGCUGGUCACAAGGAAUGGGUCGGUUGGAAAUUAUUUGACGCAGCACAAGCUCCAGAAAAUCCAAUUUUUUUUCUUUUUUGUUGUUGGAAGCUUCCGAAAAUCAAAUUUAUGCAGAUGUAAUAUAAAUUUGUGAUGCUUUCUCAUUUUAUUAAUUUAUCUCAGUUCUCGCCUGUGUUUUUCGUUU
RNA transcript from Prunus avium (sweet cherry), 2602 nucleotides. RefSeq lists it as uncharacterized. NCBI's taxonomy places the organism in Eukaryota, Viridiplantae, Streptophyta, Magnoliopsida, Rosales, Rosaceae. The record is from RefSeq and is a predicted model, not a curated record.